CUGCUGAGGAGUCCCAUAAUAGGACGAAACGGCCGUCCAG
Molecule: non-coding RNA, 40 nt
Organism: Schistosoma rodhaini
Lineage: Eukaryota; Metazoa; Platyhelminthes; Trematoda; Strigeidida; Schistosomatidae
Source: Rfam